UGGGGAAUAUUGCACAAUGGGCGCAAGCCUGAUGCAGCCAUGCCGCGUGUGUGAAGAAGGCCUUCGGGUUGUAAAGCACUUUCAGCGGGGAGGAAGGCGGUGAGGUUAAUAACCUCAUCGAUUGACGUUACCCGCAGAAGAAGCACCGGCUAACUCCGUGCCAGCAGCCGCGGUAAUACGGAGGGUGCAAGCGUUAAUCGGAAUUACUGGGCGUAAAGCGCACGCAGGCGGUCUGUCAAGUCGGAUGUGAAAUCCCCGGGCUCAACCUGGGAACUGCAUUCGAAACUGGCAGGCUAGAGUCUUGUAGAGGGGGGUAGAAUUCCAGGUGUAGCGGUGAAAUGCGUAGAGAUCUGGAGGAAUACCGGUGGCGAAGGCGACCCCCUGGACAAAGACUGACGCUCAGGUGCGAAAGCGUGGGGAGCAAACAGG
This 429-nucleotide ribosomal RNA is filed under the name Chloroflexota bacterium. RNAcentral's name for it is "Chloroflexi bacterium partial 16S ribosomal RNA". It matches the Rfam family "Bacterial small subunit ribosomal RNA", at positions 355 to 776 of the family's 1533-position model. The record is from RNAcentral. Lineage: Bacteria; Bacillati; Chloroflexota.